Molecule: small nucleolar RNA, 134 nt
Organism: Dioscorea cayenensis subsp. rotundata (Guinea yam)
Lineage: Eukaryota; Viridiplantae; Streptophyta; Magnoliopsida; Dioscoreales; Dioscoreaceae
Product: small nucleolar RNA Z247
Exons: 1
Source: RefSeq, a predicted model, not a curated record
CCAAUGAGCGAUGAUGAUCUGAUCGGCUACAUCAUGGCGGGUCUCGACGCUAAGUAUAACCCGCUGGUUUCCUUUGUUAUAACUAGGUCUGAUUCGAUCGGUCUGUCCGAGUUCUACACCUAUUUUUUCUCAUA